UAGGGAAUCUUCGGCAAUGGGGGCAACCCUGACCGAGCAACGCCGCGUGAGUGAAGAAGGUUUUCGGAUCGUAAAGCUCUGUUGUAAGAGAAGAACGUGUGUGAGAGUGGAAAGUUCACACAGUGACGGUAACUUACCAGAAAGGGACGGCUAACUACGUGCCAGCAGCCGCGGUAAUACGUAGGUCCCGAGCGUUGUCCGGAUUUAUUGGGCGUAAAGCGAGCGCAGGCGGUUUAAUAAGUCUGAAGUUAAAGGCAGUGGCUUAACCAUUGUUCGCUUUGGAAACUGUUAAACUUGAGUGCAGAAGGGGAGAGUGGAAUUCCAUGUGUAGCGGUGAAAUGCGUAGAUAUAUGGAUGAACACCGGUGGCGAAAGCGGCUCUCUGGUCUGUAACUGACGCUGAGGCUCGAAAGCGUGGGGAGCAAACAGG
RNAcentral lists this ribosomal RNA (429 nucleotides) under bacterium. RNAcentral describes it as "partial 16S ribosomal RNA". It matches the Rfam family "Bacterial small subunit ribosomal RNA", at positions 355 to 776 of the family's 1533-position model. The record is from RNAcentral.